This 282-nucleotide ribosomal RNA is filed under the name uncultured bacterium. Its description in RNAcentral is "partial 16S ribosomal RNA". It matches the Rfam family "Bacterial small subunit ribosomal RNA", at positions 28 to 314 of the family's 1533-position model. The record is from RNAcentral.
GACGAACGCUGGCGGCGUGCUUAACACAUGCAAGUCGAGCGGUAAGGCCCUUUCGGGGGUACACGAGCGGCGAACGGGUGAGUAACACGUGGGUGACCUGCCCUUAGCUCUGGGAUAAGCCUGGGAAACUGGGUCUAAUACCGGAUAUGACUCCAUAACGCAUGUUGUGGGGUGAAAGCCUUGUGCGGCUAGGGAUGGGCCCGCGGCCUAUCAGCUUGUUGGUGGGGUNAUGGCCACCAAGGCGACGACGGUAGCCGGCCUGAGAGGGCGACCGGCCACACU